GGGAAAUUUCCUAACUCAUUUUGAGGCUAGCAUUACCCUAAUACGAAGCCAGACAAAGACAUUAUAAGAAAACUACACCCCCAAAUCACUUAUUAACAUUAAUGCAAAAAUUCUCAACAAAAUGGUAGGGAAACAAGUUGAAUAUCUUAUUAACAGGGUAAUGCACUAUGACCAAAUGGAAUUUAUUCCUGGAAUGCAAGGAUGGUUUAACACACACAAAUCAAUAAAUUUAAUAUGCCACAUUAACCUACUUGCACCUACUUGCUGCAAAACAAGUAAGAGGCCCAGGGAAGGUGUCCCUUUAGAUUCCAUAUGAAUUUUAGGAUUGGCUUUUCUAUUUCCGCAAAAAAAAAAUGUCAGUGGGAUUUUGCCAGGGAUUGCACUGAAUGUGUAGAUCACUGUAAGGGUGGUAAUAACACUUAAGUUUAAGAUUAAAGACAUUCUUAUUAAGGGUUUAGCUCAUUGACUAGUACAUUACAAGUGUUGUGUAUGGUAGCUUUUAUUUUCAUCUCCAGAACAUAUACCUUGCUAAAUACAAUAUACAUUGACUAUGCUUUAAGCAUGGAUCAUAUGACCUGAAAAUUGGAGAAUUUACAUGCAGAGUAUUGCUUUCUUCCAAAAAUGGCUGAAUCGUAUUACUAUGUAAUGAGCAGCUCCCAUGUGUCUUGUCACUGGGGACGUACAAACAUGACUUGCACAAGACCCCUUGCCCCGGUCGGAGACCUCAAAGGGGCAGGGAGGUGGGUGUGGCCCGGGCGGGAACCCUGAGGCUCCGGGAAGCUCCCCCAGGCUCCCAUCCAGGGCUCCGCCCCGCCUCGGCUCCAGCCGCCGCUAGGGGGCGCUCCCCGCCCACCGGCAGCAGGGGGCUAGCGGCUGGGCUCUGGGGCUCUGCGCACUGACUUGGGGCCGGCCGCUGGGAAGCGAGGAUUUGGCGGCCGAGGCCGGGACUUCGGGUCCCCACCCGGGCGAGUCGCGGGGCGGGGGCGGGAAGGGGCGCCGCGCGGAGGAAGUGCCCUUUUGGUCGCAGCCAGAGCCGCGCCGCAGGUGCCGCGAUGUCGUCCCAGCCGGGGCGCGAGGAUGAGGGGGCGGGGGGCGCGUGGCGGCCGCGGGAGCCGCCGGAUCAGGAGCUGCAGCGGGCCCGGGAGCAGAAGCAGCGGUGGCACGGCGCGCAGCAGCUGCAGCAGCUCAAGCACCUGGAGUCCUUUUAUGAAAAACCUCCUCCUGGGCUUAUCGAGGAAGAUGAGGCUAAGCCAGAAGAUUGCAUACCAGGUGUACCAGGCAAUGAACAUGCCAGGGAAUUUCUGGCUCAUGCGCCAACUAAAGGACUUUGGAUGCCACUGGGGAAAGAAGUCAGAGUUUUGCAGUGUUGACAUUGCAAACGGUAUGGUCACCAAACAGGCUACAAAGAAUGCCCUUUCUUUAUCAAAGACAACCAAAAGUUAGAACAGUUCAGAGUAGCACAUGAGGAUUUCAUGUAUGACAUCAUACAAGACAAUAAACAAUAUGAAAAGGAUGUAAGGAUACAGCAGUUAAAACAGUUACUGGAGGAUUCUACCUCAGAUGAAGAUGGGAGCAGCUCCAGUUCCUCUGAAGGUAAAGAGAAACACAAGAAAAAGAAGAGGAAAGAAAAGCAUAAGAAAGGAAGAAAGAAAAGAAAAAGAAGAAAAAACGGAAGCACAAAUCUUCCAAGUCAAAUGAGAGUUCCGACUCAGAGUGACAAGGAUGUGACUUGUUCAACGUUCUCUUCUCAAGAAUCAAACACUGUGGCCAAGGAACAGAGGAAGAUGCAGUCAGAGAAAGUAGCAGGAUAGAGACACUGAGACAGGAGGAUACGUGGGUCACAGCAGUGAGCUCCCACCCGCCUUCCAGUGAAGACGUGACCCCCGGAGAGGGAGUGUCUCCUUCCAGGUGCUAGCUCUGGACAGCUGCUGAUUUUAGGACAGUUUCUUCGGUGUUGUCCUCCCUGCUGGUCCUAUGAGUUUACGAUUCCUUUGAAAUACCUCCCAUAGGGUGGCAGGACUGGGAGAAUCUUUGAGGCGUUUCUUCCAGGACCUCCCACAGCUUGUGCCCUCCAUAGUGUGGAAUUGAACACCUGGCCUCAUGUGAUCCUUCCACCUUGGCCUCCCAAAGCAUUGGGAUAACAGGUGAGAGCCACUGCUUGGCUAAAAGUGUACAUUUAUAUUCAUCUGACAUGAUUUAUUGAUUUGGGGGCUAAGGAGUUCUUAAAAUAACAAUAAAAAAUCUUGUCUGGCU
Cercocebus atys (sooty mangabey) is the source of this 2253-nucleotide RNA transcript. It is a transcript of the gene named retinitis pigmentosa 9 protein-like, with no coding region annotated. The transcript has 6 exons. The record is from RefSeq and is a predicted model, not a curated record. NCBI's taxonomy places the organism in Eukaryota, Metazoa, Chordata, Mammalia, Primates, Cercopithecidae.